UGAUACGCCAAGCUAUUUAGGUGACACUAUAGAAUACUCAAGCUAUGCAUCCAACGCGUUGGGAGCUCUCCCAUAUGGUCGACCUGCAGGCGGCCGCGAAUUCACUAGUGAUUAGAGUUUGAUCAUGGCUCAGAUUGAACGCUGGCGGAAUGCUUUACACAUGCAAGUCGAACGGCAGCACGGGAGCUUGCCCCUGGUGGCGAGUGGCGAACGGGUGAGUAACGCGUCGGAACGUACCGAGUAAUGGGGGAUAACGCAGCGAAAGCUGUGCUAAUACCGCAUACGCCCUGAGGGGGAAAGUGGGGGAUCGCAAGACCUCACGUUAUUCGAGCGGCCGACGUCUGAUUAGCUUGUUGGUGGGGUAAUGGCCUACCAAGGCGACGAUCAGUAGCGGGUCUGAGAGGAUGAUCCGCCACACUGGAACUGAGACACGGUCCAGACUCCUACGGGAGGCAGCAGUGGGGAAUUUUGGACAAUGGGGGCAACCCUGAUUCAGCCAUUCCGCGUGAGUGAAGAAGSCCUUCGGGUUGUAAAGCUCUUCAGCSGGAASGAAACGGUAUGUCUUAAUACGAUGUGCUAAUGACGGUACCGGCAGAAGAAGCACGGCU
This 608-nucleotide ribosomal RNA is filed under the name uncultured beta proteobacterium. RNAcentral describes it as "bacterial SSU rRNA". Lineage: Bacteria; Pseudomonadati; Pseudomonadota; Betaproteobacteria. The record is from RNAcentral.